CUGAAGGAGUGUAGCGUUAACUGAAGACCCGGAUGGAUGGCAAAGAGUUUAAAUCAGGCCCAGAAAAGGCAAUUAUACUUUGUUUGGUGAUUUACUGUAGAAGAGAAAGGAAUGGCAGGAGCCAGGCUUAGGGCAUUGAUGGGGGAGGCAUAAAAGGUAGGAGCAGAUGCUGGAAACAACGUGGUAUUAAAAUAGUGGAAACACUCAGUGAUUCAGUGGGCAUGAGAAGUAGAAACUGAGUUGGAAGCGUCGGGAAAUUUUUGUUCAAUAUGGAAAGCAAUAAGGUGACUUUCUCUGAGGCUCUUGAAGAGCUAUAAGGAGAACAGAAUUAAUGAUAAUGGUAGUGACGGCUAACAUUUUCAAGCACGUACAUGCUGGGCAUUGUUGUAAGCUGAAGGUUCU
This 402-nucleotide long non-coding RNA is filed under the name Homo sapiens (human). RNAcentral's name for it is "non-protein coding lnc-RAG1-3:1". The record is from RNAcentral. Lineage: Eukaryota; Metazoa; Chordata; Mammalia; Primates; Hominidae.